GUGCCAGCCGCCGCGGUAAUACGUAGGUGGCAAGCGUUGUCCGGAAUUAUUGGGCGUAAAGCGCGCGCAGGCGGCUUCCCAAGUCCCUCUUAAAAGUGCGGGGCUUAACCCCGUGAUGGGAAGGAAACUGGGAAGCUGGAGUAUCGGAGAGGAAAGUGGAAUUCCUAGUGUAGCGGUGAAAUGCGUAGAGAUUAGGAAGAACACCGGUGGCGAAGGCGACUUUCUGGACGAAAACUGACGCUGAGGCGCGAAAGCGUGGGGAGCAAACAGGAUUAGAUACCCUGGUAGUCCACGCCGUAAACGAUGGAUACUAGGUGUAGGAGGUAUCGACCCCUCCUGUGCCGGAGUUAACGCAAUAAGUAUCCCGCCUGGGAAGUACGAUCGCAAGAUUAAAACUCAAAGGAAUUGACGG
RNAcentral lists this ribosomal RNA (412 nucleotides) under uncultured bacterium. RNAcentral describes it as "partial 16S ribosomal RNA". It matches the Rfam family "Bacterial small subunit ribosomal RNA", at positions 505 to 916 of the family's 1533-position model. RNAcentral also lists the same sequence under 1 other name. The record is from RNAcentral.